This 485-nucleotide ribosomal RNA is filed under the name uncultured bacterium. RNAcentral describes it as "bacterial SSU rRNA". It matches the Rfam family "Bacterial small subunit ribosomal RNA", at positions 504 to 988 of the family's 1533-position model. The record is from RNAcentral.
UGUCCCAGCAGCCGCGGUAAUACAGAGGGUGCGAGCGUUAAUCGGAAUUACUGGGCGUAAAGCGAGUGUAGGUGGCUUAUUAAGUCACAUGUGAAAUCCCUGGGCUUAACCUAGGAACUGCAUGUGAUACUGGUGAGCUAGAGUAUGUGAGAGGAAAGUAGAAUUCCAGGUGUAGCGGUGAAAUGCGUAGAGAUCUGGAGGAAUACCGAUGGCGAAGGCAGCUUUCUGGCAUAAUACUGACACUGAGACUCGAAAGCGUGGGUAGCAAACAGGAUUAGAUACCCUGGUAGUCCACGCCGUAAACGAUGUCUACUAGCCGUUGGGGCCCUUGAGGCUUUAGUGGCGCAGUUAACGCGAUAAGUAGACCGCCUGGGGAGUACGGCCGCAAGGUUAAAACUCAAAUGAAUUGACGGGGGCCCGCACAAGCGGUGGAGCAUGUGGUUUAAUUCGAUGCAACGCGAAGAACCUUACCUGGUCUUGACAUA